ACUCGAGUGGCGAACGGGUGAGUAACACGUGGGUGGUCUGCCCUGCACUUCGGGAUAAGCUUGGGAAACUGGGUCUAAUACCGGAUAGGAGCCAUCUUUAGUGUGGUGGUUGGAAAGUUUUUUCGGUGUAGGAUGAGCUCGCGGCCUAUCAGCUUGUUGGUGGGGUAAUGGCCUACCAAGGCGGCGACGGGUAGCCGGCCUGAGAGGGUGUACGGCCACAUUGGGACUGAGAUACGGCCCAG
This 242-nucleotide ribosomal RNA is filed under the name uncultured Actinomycetales bacterium. RNAcentral describes it as "partial 16S ribosomal RNA". It matches the Rfam family "Bacterial small subunit ribosomal RNA", at positions 89 to 334 of the family's 1533-position model. The record is from RNAcentral. Lineage: Bacteria; Bacillati; Actinomycetota; Actinomycetes; Actinomycetales.